UACGUGGGGUGCGAGCGUUGUCCGGAUUUAUUGGGCGUAAAGGGCUCGUAGGUGGUUGAUCGCGUCGGAAGUGUAAUCUUGGGGCUUAACCCUGAGCGUGCUUUCGAUACGGGUUGACUUGAGGAAGGUAGGGGAGAAUGGAAUUCCUGGUGGAGCGGUGGAAUGCGCAGAUAUCAGGAGGAACACCAGUGGCGAAGGCGGUUCUCUGGGCCUUUCCUGACGCUGAGGAGCGAAAGCGUGGGGAGCGAACAGGA
RNAcentral lists this unclassified non-coding RNA (254 nucleotides) under plant metagenome. RNAcentral's name for it is "partial contains 5.8S ribosomal RNA, internal transcribed spacer 2, and large subunit ribosomal RNA". It matches the Rfam family "Bacterial small subunit ribosomal RNA", at positions 524 to 777 of the family's 1533-position model. The record is from RNAcentral.